AGAGCGAACGCUGGCGGCAGGCUUAACACAUGCAAGUCGAGCGCCCCGCAAGGGGAGCGGCAGACGGGAGAGUAACACGUGGGAACGUACCUUUCGGUUCGGAACAACCCAGGGAAACUUGGGCUAAUACCGGAUACGCCCGCAAGGGGAAAGAUUUAUCGCCGGAAGAUCGGCCCGCGUCUGAUUAGCUAGUUGGUGAGGUAACGGCUCACCAAGGCGACGAUCAGUAGCUGGUCUGAGAGGAUGAUCAGCCUCACUGGGACUGAGACACGGCCCAGACUCCUACGGGAGGCAGCAGUGGGGAAUAUUGGACAAUGGGCGCAAGCCUGAUCCAGCCAUGCCGCGUGGGUGAUGAAGGCCCUAGGGUUGUAAAGCCCUUUCGGCGGGGAAGAUAAUGACGGUACCCGCAGAAGAAGCCCCGGCUAACUUCGUGCCAGCAGCCGC
Molecule: ribosomal RNA, 444 nt
Filed under: uncultured bacterium
Lineage: Bacteria
Description: SSU rRNA
Rfam family: Bacterial small subunit ribosomal RNA
Source: RNAcentral